CCCUUAGAUGUUCUGGGCCGCACGCGUGCUUCACUGAGUAAAUCAAUGGGUAAGGGAACACGAAAGUGCAACCUAAUCUUCAAAUUUGCUCGUGAUGGGGAUCGACGGUUGCAAUUUUCCGUCGUGAACGAGGAAUACCUUGUAGGCGCGUGUCAUCAUCACGCGCCGAAUACGUCCCUGCCCUUUGUACACACCGCCCGUCGCUCCUACCGAUUGAGUGAUCCGGUGAGGCUCUGGGACCUGGACGGAAAGAGCGUUUCGCUUGUUCUGUUUGGGAAACUUGGUCGAACCUUAUCAUUUAGAGGAAGGAGAAGUCGUAACA
This 322-nucleotide ribosomal RNA is filed under the name uncultured eukaryote. Its description in RNAcentral is "partial 18S ribosomal RNA". It matches the Rfam family "Eukaryotic small subunit ribosomal RNA", at positions 1470 to 1796 of the family's 1831-position model. The record is from RNAcentral.